AUUGAACGCUGGCGGCAUGCCUAACACAUGCAAGUCGAACGGUAACAGGCCCUUCGGGCGCUGACGAGUGGCGGACGGGUGAGUAAUGCUUAGGAAUCUGCCUAGUAGUGGGGGAUAACCCGGGGAAACUCGGGCUAAUACCGCAUACGUCCUACGGGAGAAAGCGGGGGACCUUCGGGCCUCGCGCUAUUAGAUGAGCCUAAGUCCGAUUAGCUAGUUGGUAGGGUAACGGCCUACCAAGGCGACGAUCGGUAGCUGGUCUGAGAGGACGACCAGCCACACUGGGACUGAGACACGGCCCAGACUCCUACGGGAGGCAGCAGUGGGGAAUAUUGGACAAUGGGCGCAAGCCUGAUCCAGCGAUGCCGCGUGUGUGAAGAAGGCCUGC
RNAcentral lists this ribosomal RNA (388 nucleotides) under uncultured bacterium. RNAcentral's name for it is "bacterial SSU rRNA". It matches the Rfam family "Bacterial small subunit ribosomal RNA", at positions 30 to 419 of the family's 1533-position model. The record is from RNAcentral.